This 615-nucleotide ribosomal RNA is filed under the name Papiliotrema flavescens. RNAcentral's name for it is "partial large subunit ribosomal RNA". It matches the Rfam family "Eukaryotic large subunit ribosomal RNA", at positions 49 to 653 of the family's 3401-position model. The record is from RNAcentral. Lineage: Eukaryota; Fungi; Basidiomycota; Tremellomycetes; Tremellales; Rhynchogastremaceae.
AGCGGAGGAAAAGAAACUAACAAGGAUUCCCCUAGUAACGGCGAGUGAACCGGGAAGAGCUCAAAUUUGAAAUCUGGCGUGCUCAGUGCGUCCGAGUUGUAAUCUAUAGAGUCGUUUUCCGUGCCGGACUGUGUCCAAGUCCCUUGGAACAGGGUAUCAAAGAGGGUGAUAAUCCCGUACUUGACACAAUGACCGGUGCUCUGUGAUACGUCUUCUACGAGUCGAGUUGUUUGGGAAUGCAGCUCAAAAUGGGUGGUGAGUUCCAUCUAAAGCUAAAUAUUGGCGAGAGACCGAUAGCGAACAAGUACCGUGAGGGAAAGAUGAAAAGCACUUUGGAAAGAGAGUUAAACAGUACGUGAAAUUGUUAAAAGGGAAACGAUUGAAGUCAGUCGUGACUGAGAGGCUCAGCCGGUUCUGCCGGUGUAUUCCCCUCAGUCGGGUCAACAUCAGUUUUGUUCGGUGGAUAAGGGCGGUUGGAAGGUGGCACCCUCGGGUGUGUUAUAGCCAACUGUCGCAUACAUCGGAUGAGACUGAGGAAUGCAGCUCGCCUUUAUGGCCGGGGUUCGCCCACGUUCGAGCUUAGGAUGUUGACAUAAUGGCUUUAAACGACCCGUC